GGAGAUUCAUAAAUUCACGAAGUACCCCGGAAAUAUAUAUGUAUAAAAUAAAAAUAUUUUUCAUGAACAAAUUUUGGUGGGUAAAAACCCUAUCCCAUCCCAUAGUAAUCGCCAAGAAAAGCUAUCACAUCCAAGUUAGCUCUUAACUUCCCUAAAAAACUUAUGAAUACGCAUCUACAUUUAUUGACCCAGCACAUCCCAUAUAUUGGAUCAGAACAGUAAGGCCCAGACUCACUAUCAUAGGUGCAGUAACGUUCAAAUCCUGCGAUAUAAACAACACAAAUAAAGGCAUGUUACAAAACGGAAUGAAAAGAUUAAACCAACUCUUUCAAAAGAAUGUGAAAAGAGACGUACCACCAUUGACUAUGACAA
RNAcentral lists this long non-coding RNA (372 nucleotides) under Medicago truncatula (barrel medic). Its description in RNAcentral is "long non-coding RNA (MTRU_LNC008681)". The record is from RNAcentral. Lineage: Eukaryota; Viridiplantae; Streptophyta; Magnoliopsida; Fabales; Fabaceae.